GCCGGGCGUGGUGGCGCAUGCCUGUAGUCCCAGCUACUUGGGAGGCUGAGACAGGAGAAUGGCGUGAACCCAGGAGGAGGAGCUUGCAGUGAGCCAGUAUCACGCCACUGCACUCCAGCCUGGGUGAUAGAGCCAGACUCCGUCUCAA
This is an unclassified non-coding RNA of Papio anubis (olive baboon), 148 nucleotides long. It matches the Rfam family "Metazoan signal recognition particle RNA". Rfam says of the family: The signal recognition particle (SRP) is a universally conserved ribonucleoprotein. It is involved in the co-translational targeting of proteins to membranes. The record is from Ensembl. Lineage: Eukaryota; Metazoa; Chordata; Mammalia; Primates; Cercopithecidae.